Molecule: ribosomal RNA, 483 nt
Filed under: uncultured bacterium
Lineage: Bacteria
Description: partial 16S ribosomal RNA
Rfam family: Bacterial small subunit ribosomal RNA
Source: RNAcentral
UUGCACGCUGGCGGCAGGCCUAACACCUGCCAGUCGAGCGGAUGAAGGGAGCUUGCUCCUGGAUUCAGCGGCGGACGGGUGAGUAAUGCCUAGGAAUCUGCCUGGUAGUGGGGGAUAACGUCCGGAAACGGGCGCUAAUACCGCAUACGUCCUGAGGGAGAAAGUGGGGGAUCUUCGGACCUCACGCUAUCAGAUGAGCCUAGGUCGGAUUAGCUAGUUGGUGGGGUAAAGGCCUACCAAGGCGACGAUCCGUAACUGGUCUGAGAGGAUGAUCAGUCACACUGGAACUGAGACACGGUCCAGACUCCUACGGGAGGCAGCAGUGGGGAAUAUUGGACAAUGGGCGAAAGCCUGAUCCAGCCAUGCCGCGUGUGUGAAGAAGGUCUUCGGAUUGUAAAGCACUUUAAGUUGGGAGGAAGGGCAGUAAGUUAAUACCUUGCUGUUUUGACGUUACCAACAGAAUAAGCACCGGCUAACUUCGUG